Molecule: unclassified non-coding RNA, 337 nt
Filed under: soil metagenome
Description: partial contains 5.8S ribosomal RNA, internal transcribed spacer 2, and large subunit ribosomal RNA
Rfam family: 5.8S ribosomal RNA (bases 1-120)
Source: RNAcentral
GAUGAAGAACGUAGCGAAAUGCGAUAAGUAGUGUGAAUUGCAGAAUUCAGUGAAUCAUCGAAUCUUUGAACGCACAUUGCGCCCAUUGGUAUUCCAUGGGGCAUGCCUGUUCGAGCGUCAUUUGUACCUUCAAGCUCUGCUUGGUGUUGGGUGUUUGUCUCGCCUCUGCGUGUAGACUCGCCUCAAAACAAUUGGCAGCCGGCGUAUUGAUUUCGGAGCGCAGUACAUCUCGCGCUUUGCACUCAUAACGACGACGUCCAAAAGUACAUUUUUACACUCUUGACCUCGGAUCAGGUAGGGAUACCCGCUGAACUUAAGCAUAUCAAUAAGCGGAGGA